AUUCUAAAAAAGCCGAAUUCCCAUUCGUUCGGGAAGCGGGGGAUCCGUCUUGGGUGAAUUGAUCUCGCAACAGAGGGGUCAUAGGUUUACCUUCAACCGAACCCUUAAGCUAACCUCGCAGGCAUUGGAAGGAGCUUUC
This 139-nucleotide small RNA is filed under the name Paenibacillus sp. Its description in RNAcentral is "c-di-AMP sequence". It matches the Rfam family "c-di-AMP riboswitch aptamer (ydaO/yuaA leader)". From Rfam's summary of the family: This family represents a conserved RNA structure found upstream of the ydaO and yuaA genes in Bacillus subtilis and related genes in other bacteria. The ydaO/yuaA element is thought to act as a genetic "off" switch for the ydaO and yuaA genes in its native state. It is believed that the element may be triggered during osmotic shock leading to activation of ydaO, a predicted amino acid transporter gene, and members of the yuaA-yubG operon which code for KtrA and KtrB K+ transporters. The record is from RNAcentral. Lineage: Bacteria; Bacillati; Bacillota; Bacilli; Caryophanales; Paenibacillaceae.